Molecule: non-coding RNA, 143 nt
Filed under: unclassified sequences
Description: RT-3 RNA
Rfam family: RT-3 RNA
Source: Rfam by way of RNAcentral
UAUCGGCGUACAUCACCGGGAACGUGUUCCCACCGAGGUGCCGAGAGGGGCAAGCCUCGGCAACCCUCUCCGCAAGGAAGAAAGCCGGAACAUCAAGUGUUGAGUAGGGUUUGGUAGGCUCUCGCUCGAAGAACCCGGACUCU